Molecule: ribosomal RNA, 433 nt
Filed under: uncultured bacterium
Lineage: Bacteria
Description: partial 16S ribosomal RNA
Rfam family: Bacterial small subunit ribosomal RNA
Source: RNAcentral
AACGAACGCUGGCGGCAUGCCUAACACAUGCAAGUCGAACGAGACCUUCGGGUCUAGUGGCGCCCGGGUGCGUAACGCGUGGGAACCUGCCCUUAGGUUCGGAAUAACUCCCCGAAAGGGGUGCUAAUACCGGAUAAUGUCUUCGGACCAAAGAUUUAUCGCCUUUGGAUGGGCCCGCGUUGGAUUAGCUAGUUGGUAGGGUAAAAGCCUACCAAGGCGACGAUCCAUAGCUGGUCUGAGAGGAUGAUCAGCCACACUUGGACUGAGACACGGCCCAGACUCCUACGGGAGGCAGCAGUGGGGGAUAGUGGACGAUGGGCGAAAGCCUGAUCCAGCAAUGCCGCGUGAGUGAUGAAGGCCUUAGUGUUGUAAAGCUCUUUUACCCGGGAUGAUAAUGACAGUACCGGGAGAAUAAGCUCCGGCUAACUCCGUG